RNAcentral lists this microRNA precursor (124 nucleotides) under Hordeum vulgare. RNAcentral's name for it is "microRNA MIR1122". It matches the Rfam family "MIR1120/MIR1122 microRNA precursor family". The record is from RNAcentral. Lineage: Eukaryota; Viridiplantae; Streptophyta; Magnoliopsida; Poales; Poaceae.
UUCACACUCCCUCCGUCCGAAAUUAUUUGUUAUAGGAUUGGAUGUUUUAGGCUUACUUUAAUUCUAGAUACAUUCGUUACUAUACGUUUUUGCAACAAUUAAUUCUGGACGGGGGAAGUAUGUC